GGGCGGGGAGAGGGGCUCGCGGCCUAUCAGCUAGUUGGCGGGGUGACGGCCCACCAAGGCGGUGACGGGUAGCUGGUCUGAGAGGAUGGCCAGCCACAUUGGGACUGAGAGACGGCCCAG
This 120-nucleotide ribosomal RNA is filed under the name uncultured bacterium. RNAcentral describes it as "partial 16S ribosomal RNA". It matches the Rfam family "Bacterial small subunit ribosomal RNA", at positions 215 to 334 of the family's 1533-position model. The record is from RNAcentral.